Mustela lutreola (European mink) is the source of this 991-nucleotide long non-coding RNA. RefSeq lists it as uncharacterized. The transcript has 4 exons. Lineage: Eukaryota; Metazoa; Chordata; Mammalia; Carnivora; Mustelidae. The record is from RefSeq and is a predicted model, not a curated record.
GAGGGACCAGGUGAAGAUCUCGGCCACCUCUGCCCUGGGCUACAUGUUGCGUCACAUUUACAAAUUCAAGCCUGGACUCUCCACCAGAAGAGAGAUCUACAGUUUCCUAGUCCCGCUGCUGCUUAGCUUUCAGGAUAACAACCCUGAGGUAGUCAAGGCCUGCGGAGGGGCCCUAAGUGGACCACUGUGAUCGGCUGGUCAUCACUCACCCAGAUAGUCAAGCAUGCCACCCUCAGCGAUCACAUCCAGGUGUUGGAAGAGACAUGCAAGUACCUGGUGAGCACAAGCAAAACCCAGCUGGUGAGGGACUUACUGUCCCAGAGCUUUGACUUCCUGAAGAGCCCUCAGUCCUUCCUAAGGGCAGCUGCCAUCAACUUAAUAGCUGUUGGAAGUCUGAGGAAUGAUCCUGUGGAGUCUGUGCAGUCUUUGGUCAAUACAACUCUGAAAAAAAUUGAUGAAUAUGUUAACCCCGGGUUUGUCGCUACUUCCAGGUUGAGCCAGCUGAGUAAUAACAUCUUCAAGGUCACAGGCAUGAAAACCCCAAAAAGAAAGAAGCGGCUAUUUAAGAGUGUCAAAUGGGAAAGAGAUGACAAUCAGAAAAUCUGGAAGUGGCUUCAAAGCCCUCUGAAUCCACUGCGCAAGCGGUCCAAUAGGAGGGUGAAAAAUAGUCCAGUCAUAAUAGGCAAUUCAGAGAUCACACAUCCCGACGUCUGGAAGUCCACCUGCAGAGGCCGGGGCCGCCUAAACUAAGUUGCUCCAACUGCUCUGGAACUAAAGCCUUUUCCAUUUGUUUGUCCAGAUGUCAGGACUUUGCCUCCCAGUAGCUCUCCGACCAUAGUCCCACCAGAUGGGCUACUUUAGGAUUACACCCAAGGAGGCACUUUUGAUCUUAGAAGACACAGUGUGUUUCUGGUCCUUUGUCUCCCUUGGGGAUUUCUGGCCACCAGCAUAUUCAUUUGUCAAUAAAACUUAUUUGCUCAUCCUAAGACAA